Xyrichtys novacula (pearly razorfish) is the source of this 13105-nucleotide non-coding RNA. NCBI's taxonomy places the organism in Eukaryota, Metazoa, Chordata, Actinopteri, Labriformes, Labridae. The record is from the annotation of a GenBank genome assembly.
CAGAACCAGUUUAAGUUUUGUUGUUAUUGCUUAUGUGUUUUUUUCUUUUUUAUAUAUAAGAUUUUUUGUAAAAGUCUAAGUUGACAUUUAUAUUUAUAUUUGCACUGUGCGCAUGAUGAGUGUACUUAUCAUAGACUGUAUAUAGAAUGGACAGAGUCUGCCUCCUUGCUGGGUGAAGCCACUCCGAGAACAGCACCCUCUGUUGAUGGGCUGCAGUAUAGGUCAUAAAUCCCGCCUCCGCCAGCAAAGCUUAUGGAGCUGUGGACAAACUUUAGAAAUUAAUUACACAGAACAUACAUUUUUCUCCCCCUGCUUGCGGUGUUGACAUGUAGUUACAGUAAGACUGGUUUGUGCUCAAGUCCUCAUUUUUCUGUACAGCUCUAUUGGCAUUCAAGGAUUGCGUAGCUCACCAGGGGGAAAUGCUGUUUGAGCCCAGCGUCAUCACAGCAACUCUCCCGCCAAAUGCGCACAACGCUACUGCGCAGUAAUGCUUUCAGGAAAUGAAGAAAAAUCGCGGAAAUACAGAGAGCUUUUUGGCUUCAAAUCCAUAUACUGACGGGAGGCAGAACCAAGUUGUCCAUAGUAUGCCAUAGUACAGUCUUUGGCAGGUACCUUAAAAUUUGAUAGUGAGCUGUGUGUAACCACACUCUUCCUCCCCAAGGCCACUCUGAGCUGCCAACACUGCAGCGGUGGCCCAGGAGUGGUGGUCUGGAGAUCUUCUGAGGACCUCUUCAGAGGACCUCCACACCACCCCACCUGGAAGCACCAGCUUGCCUUCACCCCCAAGGAACACCCGUGAGUCCAAAGAUGAAUACCAAUGAUGGUAAACACACCCAAGGGGUCGGAUUUGAGGGGAUGCAUAUAAUUGGUGGAAAACCACCCAAAAGUGGAUUUUUCAUAAUAGGGGACCUUUAACAGAAACAUAAUCUUUAAACUUCUGCAUCUAAACCUACAGAGCACAAACACUGUGGUGAUCUGAAAAUCACAUGCAAAAGAAAACAGAGUUUGGAAAAAUUAGUGUACAGUUAUGAUGCUAGUGAUGCAGAUUAAAUAUCAUUUGAUGUCUUUGUUACUGGUCAUGGUCCACACCACCUUUUAUGUAAAGCAUCUGCAGACAACACUUUUUGUGAAUUAGUGCUCUAUGGAAAAAUUUGAAAAAAAAAAUAUUUUAGAUGCUGACAGAAAUCACUGAUGACUUCUAAAUCAGUGAACUGUGUUUAUUAGUCAAGACUGAAGGAAUAAAUAAUGAAUAUGAUAAGAACAUUUUUAUUGUUCAAAAAGUAUUUGAACUACUUUGCAUUUAUCUGCUGUAUAUUUCAGUAUUUAUAUGUCUUAAGUAUAUUACACAGCGGAAAAAUAUUGCAGUAUUGUUUUUGUAGUAUCGUGCAGCCCUGGUUUGAACUCAGUUUUUCUGCAAAGCUUGUGUGGAGACACACAAAACUUACCUCUAACUACGUGGUAAACUUUGCCAUCCAUAUUUCCUCCUUUUGGAGGUAAAAGUGUAAAGUUUAAUUUCUCUCUAAACAGCCUGAUUUCACACAGUGUGCAGUGCCAGUCUCCGCAGCAGGUCUGUUUGAAAUACUGCGAGGUCAGAGAGUAUUUCCACCGCUGUGUUAGCCUCAGCAGCAGCAGGCGGACAGCAGAGUAAAACAGAAGCCACAACCUCUCAUAACAUAAUGACAGCCACGGGAUCACAAAUAAGACACAGAGGGGAGCAGGGCCGGGUGUCUCUGUGUAAUAUUUCAUCACAGAAAAGCUAAAUAAAUUCCUCACUACAGUCAAGUGAAACCACGUCAAUGCAGCAGAUGUAAGAAAUGGCAGCUGCUGGAGGAAUGCGGUUUGGCAGCAAGCGAGGCCUGAGAGAGGCUGGAAGGUCCUCUCACGUUAACACUUUGUGUUUGGGAACACAAAGAUACAUUGUUGACGGAUGGAGGAGAUUCAAUCUCUACGUCUGUGUUGGGGUUUGUGUGUACAGGAGGGGGCGGAGGGUCCGGCCCCUUUUAUCACCACAUGGAAAAAUCCCACAAAUGGAGCACAGAUUUAGAGAAGGCUCAGCACGUAUUUUAAAAGAACAGUGAGAAGCACGCACACGCUUCAUCAGAGCAGGUAUUCACACACACACAUACAGACACACACACACACACAGAGAGAGAGAGAGAGAGAGAGAGAGAGAGAGAGGCUGCAGACCUGGCAGGCGGUGUGGCAUCAGGGUGGCAGCCAGCUCUGAAGGCCAGUAAACCAACAGGCCUCCAGCACAAAGAGCAGAGCCAGAGCUGUAAUGUUAGCAUAAAUCUGGAAUCAGACGGGCACACACAGCCCACGCAGGAGCCCACUCCUCCAGAUGUUAGUGAGACAGCUCUUAUUUUUAUUUGUCUCCUCCCUCAGAUAAAUACACACACAUGUUCGGAGUAAAGCUGUCUGGAUUGACGAGCCCGUCAUGGCUGAUUAGACCUCUGAUGAGAUCUCUCUGCAGCUACAGCUCUUCAGAGGACUGGCAUUUAUCAACGGUUUAAUUCAGUCCUGUUCAGCUCAGAGUCCUUCAGAGGUUUUGUUUGGCUGCCUGCUGCAUCAGACACUUUAAAUCUUUCUGAAAGCAGUGUCCACAUUUAAUCAUUUUUAUCUAUGCAGCCUUCAGGAACCUGUUUACUUUAAAGACUUUCUGUACUCUGACAAUUUACCAAAUUUCUUGCAAUUUAAAUUAUAUUUGAAAAAACAUUUGUCAUUUAAAGACCAUAAUACGAAGCAACUGUUAUUGAUCACCCACUCAGUCAGACGUUACUUAGUGUAACUAUAGUAUAAUAAUGAUGCCAUGUUGGUGCCCUGAGACUACCUCUGCCUCAGAAAAACAAGGUGGACUGCUGUAGUCAGCUGUAGUUAACUGUAGUCAGCCGUAGGCAGCUCAUGUCAUCUGGAGUCAACAAGUUUAUUCUUUGACACAUAUACAGAGGAAUAUUUAAAUUUCAGCCCCAAAGUAAUAAACAUGUAUUUAAACAUGUAUAAGUAUUACAGCACUUUCUACCAACAUUGUCUUUAUUUUGUAUUCACUCAGUUGAGACUUGGAGGCAGAAAGAUUAUCUGCUCAUGAUUGUAGUUCACUUGAUUUGCUAUUUCAUGUUUUUUAAUGUAUCAUUCAUGUUUGUUUUACUUUGUUGAAUUUAUGUCUGCUUUUUUUCUGAAACUUAUUUUUACUGUGCUCCUGUCUAUGUUGGCCAGGACAUUUGUGAGAGAUUUCUUUUCUGCCUCAUUGCGUUUUGAAUAUAUCUUAGAUAUAAAUAUUAUAUAUUUGAUCCCUCAAUUAGUCCAAAUUAGAUAAAAUAAUACAGGUAUGCUCUUGUGACAAUUCAGUUAAAUCAUGAUAAGUAAUUUAGUAUUGAUUUAAAAAAGUCAAAAUUUUGGUAUUAGACCAUAAUAUCACCUGAAAAGUUCACUGUAGUUUUUCAAACAGUAUGACCAACACAUCAGCAUUAAUCACAUAAAGGGAUGUUUCAUUUUUUACUCCCCUGGAGCCCUCAAAUCUUUACAGUCCUGCAGAGGUCCUGCCCUCUUAGAUGCUCCAGUUAUAAUGCUUUAUAAAACAUCCUCUCUUGUUCCUUUUCUUUGCAUUGAUAGCUGCUCAUCAAAGUAUGAAUAACGGCAAAUUGACCCCUGGAUGUUCCCCUGUCCUCACACUAGAGAAUUACACUUGGAAAACUAGCCCAGUAGAUGAUCUUUCAGAUGAAAAAUAUGGAAAUAUAUUAAAAAUAUGGAAAGAGUGCUGUCUACAUGUAUAUGUACACCUUCCCCACCCUCUCCUAACAUCAAAGAGCCCUAUGUCCCUCCUCCUGAGCCAUAUGCUGAGGAGAUUGGGGGCUGCAGAGGUUUCCUGCUCCACUGUGCUUUAGUGUUCGAUCAACAGCCAAUUAGUUAUCCCUCGGAUCAGUCCAAGAUUGCCUACACUGUGAACCUUUUAAGAGGCAAAGCCGUUAAGUGGGCUACUGCCAUUUGGGAGAAAAAUUCGCUGAUGUUGUCCUCAUACGCCAGGUUCACUGAGGAACUUUGCAAGGUGUUUCAUUAUCCUGUCAAGGGUCCCAAAUGUACUAAGCAGUUGUUUUCCCUCACCCAGGACUCUCGGUCUGUGGUGGAAUUCUCUAUUGAGUUUUGCACAGUGGCGGCUAAGAGUGGGUGGGGGGAACAAGAGUUAAAGGGUGUAUUCUCUCAUGGUCUGUCCGAACAGCUAAAAGAUGAAUUAGCUGCUCGUGACGAACCCUCCUCACUUGAGGAGCUAAUCCCAAUAGCCAUACGAUUAGACAAUUGCCUCAAGGGAGAGACGGAGGGAAAAUAAAUUAAAUUACCCUACCCAUACCGUAGACUCCCCAUCCUCUUUUGCAGUCAGUGGGUCUCCUCUGCAGCCCUCAGUUCACCUGGAUCUGGAGCCCUCUACCGGGGAACCCAUGCAAAUCAGCCGCACCAAAUUACACCCCAGCGAACGGCAACGACGGAUGGAUCAGAAGCUCUGUGUCUAUUGUGGCCAGGCCUGCCACUUUCUGCCCAGCUGUCCUAACAAGAUUAAACGGCCAGGCUAAUCAGUGACAGAGGGCACCCUGAUGAGCCAAACCUCCUCUGUCCCCAGCUCCCCCAGACAUAUCUCCGUACCUGCUUGCCUCCUGUGGGGAAAGAAUGUACAUCGCUACAAACCCUUAUUGACUCAGGGGCAGAUGACAACUUCAUUCAUGCCGGACUGGCAGCGCGGCUUCAGCUCCCCCUGGAGGUACUCCCGGUUCCCCAUAAGGUCACCGCUCUCGAUGGCAGGGUUAUGGCCAUCAUAUCCCACUGCACUACUCCUCUCAACCCUCAUCCUUUCAGGAAACCACAAUCCCCAAAUUAACUGGUCCACCGCUUCAAUCUCCACCUGGAGUCCUCACUACCAUUCUCACUGCCUCCGCUCCGCCAAUCCCUUCAUCCACCGACAAAGGUCGGCACCGCCAUUACCAUCUCUCGCCUCGGUCCCCCCUGUUUACCAUGAUCUGGCAUUGGUUUUUAAUAAAGAACAAUCUCUCGUCCUUCCUCCUCAUCGCCCCUAUGACUGCGCCAUAGAUUUGCUCCCUGGGGCCCCUCUCCCCAGCAGCAGACUGUACAAUCUCUCUCGGCCCGAACGAGAAGCCAUGGAGGAAUACAUCCAGGAUUCGCUGACAUCUGGACUCAUCCGGCCCUCAUCCUCUCCCCUUGCUGCUGGCUUUUUCUUUGUAAAAAAGAAAGAUUCCUCUCUCCGUCCCUGCAUCGACUUCUGUGGACUCAACGAGAUCACCAUUAAGAACAAGUAUCCCCUGCCACUCAUCGAUCUCUCCUUCGAAGCUCUCUGCAAUGCCUCCAUCUUCUCCGAACUGGACCUGCGGAAUGCCUAUCACCUGGUUCGCAUCAGGGAGGGUGACGAGUGGAAGACGGCCUUCAAUACACCCAUUGGCCCCUUCGAGUACCUCGUCAUGCCCUUUGGCCUCACCAAUGCUCCCGCUGUGUUCCAGGCUCUCAUUAAUGACGUCCUCCGUGAUAUGAUUAACCAAUUCGCCUUCGUCUAUCUGGACGAUAUACUGAUCUUCUCCCGCAACCUGGAGGAACAUCAACAGCACGUUCGACUUGUCCUCCAGCGCCUCCUUGAGAACCGCCUCUUUGUCAAACCUGAGAAGUGCGAGUUCCAUGCCUCCUCUGUCAGCUUCCUUGGAUACAUCAUUGCCCAGGGGGAGCUAAGCCCAGACCCGGAGAAAGUCUGCGCCGUCCGUGACUGGCCCACUCCCUCCUCCUGCAAAGACCUCCAGCGAUUCCUCGGGUUUGCAAACUUUUACAGGAGAUUCAUCCGGAACUACAGCAAGGUGGCUGUGCCUCUCACCCGUCUCACAUCCCUCAAAGUUCCGUUCUCCUGGACCCCUGAAGCAGACGCCACCUUCCGUCAACUCAAGUCCCUCUUCAUCUCCGCCCCGGUGCUCAAACACCCGGAUCCCUCUCUCCAAUUCGUGGUGGAGGUCGACGCUUCAGAGUCUGGAGUGGGGGCCGUCCUCUCACAGAGGGAUUCUGAGACCCAGAAGCUCCAUCCUUGCGCCUACUUCUCCCGGAAAUUCUCACCCACCGAGCGCAAUUACGACGUGGGAAACCGUGAGUUGCUGGCUGUUGUGUGGGCACUCCAAGAAUGGAGACACUGGCUGGAAGGAGCACAACACCCCUUCCUCAUCUGGACUGACCACAAAAACCUGCAAUAUCUCCAUUCUGCUUGACGCCUCAACUCCAGGCAAGCCCGCUGGUCCCUCUUCCUCAGCAGAUUCUGCUUCACCCUCUCCUAUCGUCCCGGCUCCCCCAACCCUAAACCUGACGCCCUAUCUCGGAUACACUCCUCGGCUACCUCAGACCCCAGAGAAUUGGACACCAUCCUCCCUGCCUCCUGUAUCCUUGGCUCUGCCUCUUGGGAGAUCGACACCUUGGUGGACAAGGCCCUCCGGAAACACCCGGACCCUGGAACCGGCCCUCCUGAUAGAAAGUUCAUCCCUGAGGUUGCACGUUCCCAGGUCCUACAGUGGGGGCACUCCUCUAAACUCACCUGCCACCCCUGAUUUCAAUGCACCCUCCAAUUCCUUUAGCAGUGGUUCUGGUGGCCGGGGAUGGUCUGGACGUACGGCUUUUGCUGCUGCCUGCUCCGUCUGUGCCCGAGGCAAAGCUUCCCAUCAACCUCCGGCUGGCUUACUGCAUCCUCUGCCUGUGCCCUCACGCCCCUGGUCUCACAUAGCUCUAGAUUUCGUCACUGGUCUCCCCCCUUCUGAAGGUAACACAGUCAUACUCACCAUCAUAGACAGAUUUUUCAAAUUUGUGCAUUAUGUCCCAUUACCCAAGCUCCUGUCUGCUCUAGAAACUGCUUAUCUCCUAGUGUCUCAUGUAUUCCAACUUCAUGGUAUCCCCAUGGACAUAGUGUCAGAUUGUGGUCCCCAGUUCUCCUCCCAGGUCUGGAAAGCUUUCUGCCAGGCAGUAGGCGCGGCAGCUAGCCUCUCCUCAGGCUACCACCCACAGACCAACAGCCAGAAGGAGCGGGCCAAUCAUAACCUCGAGUCGGCUUUGCAGUGUGUGGCGGCCCAUCAUCCAGCGUCCUGGAGUACUCCCCUCCCGUGAAUCCAGUACGCCCAUAACUCCCUCACCUCCUCGGCCACAGGUAUGCCCCCCCUCAAUGUGCUGUUUUGGGUACCAGCCCCCCCUGUUUCCCGAACAGGAGCACCCGGUGGCUGUUCCGUCAGUGAGGGAGCACAUUGGGCGUCUAUGGGAAGUGUGGAGAUCCGCCAGGGCCGCACUCACCCGCACGGCCAAGCACAACAAACGCCUGGCUGACAUUCACCGCUCUCCAGCACCAGACUAUCAUCCCGGUCAGAUGGUCUGGUUAUCGUCCCGUGACUCUCCCCUGCAGACCGAGUCCCGCAAGCUGUCCCCCCUGCUUCAUUGGUCCCUUCCCGAUCCAGAAAAUUAACAACCUAUCAGCGGUAAGACUGAAACUUCCCUCAUUCCUCAAAAUUCACCCCAAGUUUCAUGUCUCCCUGAUAAAGCCUGUCACCUCAUGCACCCUGAGCCCCCCCCCCCCCCCGACCACCCUGCCUUCACUGUGGGACGAAUCAUGGACGUGCAGCCUCGGGGUCGAGGCUUCCAAUACCUUGUGGAUUGGGAGGGACACGGGCCAGAGGAGCGCUCCCUCAUCCUGGACCAUCAACGACUUCUACGCCGCUCACCCCAACAAACCUGGCCAAGAGGCGUUCGUUGAGAGGGGGGUACUGUGGUGAGACGCCUCCUCCUCUUGUUUUAUUUUGGUUGGACUUCCUGUUUUUCUUUGUUUUCCUGGUCUGGCGUGACUCUUUUCCAGAGCACCUGCCCCCUCCCCGGUCGCUAAGGCUGAGUGAGACUCCACACCUGCACUGCAUCUGCAAUCAAGGCCCUUUCGGAGGGAGCAGCCCUCAGUCUUAGCGCCUGAGUAUUUUCUUCAUUCCUUAGUGGUAAAGACGCUUCUCAUUGGAUAAGUGCUUGUGACUUUUUUGCUCCCUGUGAUUCUUUGUAUAUCUUCUCACUUCCAUCUCCUCUGCCUCUCCACAGUGUCUCCAGCCCACACAACAGCCAGCCAGCAAACUGGACUUUCUCUCAUGCCUUUUUCCCUGAGUUGGACAUUAAAUACAUCAUUAAUUUGCUAUCUGCCUCUGUGUCUGCUUCUGGGUCCACAAGAUACACCACACGCCACAAGAAAGUGUCUUAAACAUGGAAAGUGUAACAUUUUAACACUCAUUUUCUGUUCUUAAAAUAGCCUGAGUAUGCCACUGUCUGUGUAUGUUUGCUGAGAGCAAUGCCAAACCAAGUCAAAGACCUUGACUCUUGUGACUAAAUGUGGGUCAAAAGUACAUAAUUUUAUGAUACUGAAUACACAGUUAAUGUAACUGUAGAUGUCAUUGGUGAGGAAAAAUAUCCUGAAAAGUAUCAUACAUUUCCCUUCAGGUUAAAGUGUAAUCUUUAAUAUCUUAUGUCCACGGACAUCUCACCAACAUUUACGAUGACUGAACCAGAAGAUCCAAAGCCAAAUUCAAUGUCCACAGAGGAGCUCUGCAUGGUUUCUUCAUGUCAGAGACACAGGGGUCUCAUCUUCAUUAACACUUCAAAGCCCACAGCAGGACUUUAAAGCUCUGUUUGGCAGUGCUGUCUGAGACCUCUGGAGGGUUCUGGAAACUAUGGCCCUCUCAGUGCUGACAGAGCUCACUCUGUGCACUCUGAAUUCUUCCUUGGAGCUCAGUCAUCACGCUUUGCACCAUCUUUGGGUGGAGAUGUCUGUGGGCUUACCUCACCAGGACAUAUAUGGACACAUACAGAAACCUUCAUUUCAGAGCUGAUGGAGGGGGUCAUUAUAUGAACCAGCUUUACUAACCAGAGCCAUGCAGAUCUGGACAUAAGCUUGGAGUCAAACAAUGGCAGAAAGUGUCUAAAGUCUUAUUUCUCUUUCACAUGUGACUCAGAAAUAAGUAUUUAUUCAGUCCAAGAAACUGCAUGAAGUGGGAUCUGGUUCCAGCUGCAGCCGAUCACAUUCUGCAGCUUCAAACCAACACGAUACUCAGCUGAGAACUCGUCGGUGUUGCUAUGACAGAGAGUAAAUAUUACACCGUUUACCUGAGACAGCUGUCGUAAUUUUUGCACCCGCCGCAGCAGCUUGGCUGAGCCACAGUUAGUCCGAGGAGCGGUGAGCUACAGCAACUGUUCGACAGCAUAAUGGCCCAUUUGGUUUGUAUUUAAGGAGACGUAGCAGUUCGGUCAGAACCUCUGUUAUGACACAAAAAUGUGUCGAAAACCAGAGGAAUACAUCACGCACAGGAACUACUACAUGUUUGUUCUGCUAUUAGCCCUCCGUUUGAGCAUCUUUCUGGCCUGAAAAUUAGUAUCAGGUGCUGCAGCCUGCAGCCAACUCUUGAUUUCCACAUCAGUUUAAAGAAAUAACACUGCCUGGGUGCUCUUCUGUCUUGUCUUAAUUUAGAUAAGGAAAAAUGAGACCAUUCUCCAACCAUCAAACUCAAGGUAGCAGCCAGCAGCUGGCUAUCUUAGCUUAGCAUAGAAAAUGACACAAUCGUUUUUUGUUUUGUUCACUCAUUUUGUAACAGUUAAAAAAAUUCAUCACUUUGAAUCAAUGAGUGUUGUGCCAACAAAGCACUAUGCUUCAGAAAUUCGUUGGCAGGAUAUACUGUAUACUCGCUGUGCCGCUGAUGUGUCCAGCUACAUUAUGAUCAUAAGAGAGAAAAUGCUUCACUUGUGUCAUUGAAAGAUAACCCGGAGAAAGCAUGCCAAAAAGCUCCGCCUGUUUUUACCUGCUUUUAGAUGGUUCAGUAGUUGUCCAGCAGAUGAUGAUUUCAUCAGCCAAAUUGUCUGGCAGAAAAAAUUCAGAACAAAUCACAGCAAUACUGGUUAUUAAUGGAAAAGUAAAAACAUCUCAGACUCAAGAUCUACCCUUUCCAUGUUACCACACAGGACAGUGGACAGUGCAAUCCAGCACCAGAUAUUCUGCUUUCACCCCGAUGCCCAAUGGCUCUUUCAGUGAUCAGUAUCUGUAAAAAAGAAUGGUUUCCACCAUACAUUAUUUAACACACUUCCCUUCACUAGAAACUGUAUCUUACGUUCAUUUAAAGUAAAAGGAAAUGUGGGGUAUUGAUCAACCUGAGCGCAGUAUCCUGGAGUAAAUCCACAGCAGGUGAGCACGGCAUUGAUCAGGGUGAAGUCCAGAUAAAUCGACUCAUGACUGAAGUAGCAGGUAGGACUCUUGAAGAUGGAGAUAAACAUUCAAACAACAGAGAUUUUCCUCUGUUACUAACUGGAUAGUAUAUGAUAAAACUCUGAAAUAACAGAAACAUACAACCCUGCAAACACCGGUGGAUUAUUAUCCUGUAUAUUAACAACCCACCUUUGUCAUGUUUGAAUAUAUGCAACUUUAUGUGAGUGUCUUUAUGUGUGGAAAGGGUGUUUGUCUUACCAGUGGGUCCAACAUUACACACACCAAAUCCAUCUGUGCUCAUAUGAGAGAGUGUGGAGGACGCCCAAUGCAGCGCUUACAGUGACACUUGUUGAAGAGCUGCCCUCUGUCGCCAUCAUGUGGCAUUACUGUCUUCAGACAUCUCUUGAUCUCUUUGACUACUUCACGAAAAUAGUAAUACGCCUCGCUGGUGGCGGAUUUAAAGGCAAGGAGAGGAGCUUAUGUGAUUGGCUGUGUUAAACCCAUACCACGACCUCUCUCCUCCCUCGCUACGACCUACGCUGCUGGGAUGAGCUGAGUUAGGGAGGGGGGAUACCUACGCCGGGCCGCGUUGCUCACCGAAAUACCAAAUUGUGCUUGGGAACGCCUUGUCGGUGCGGCGGACCUGACUUACGCCGUGCCUGCGUCACGUCUCCAGCGAGGCACAAAAAUAGAGGUGAUACCUGAAAACACUCUGUAGUUUCAUUUUUAAGUCUGGUUUCCUCUCGCCCCCCAUCUCCUCACAUCAGGGAUGGUAAUGGAUGUCAGUUCCUGACCUGACUGAAACAAAUCUGUGCUACUGUCUGCAGCUCUGCAGGAUGAAUGUAAAUAUCUGAGAGCAGCAUGUUGCCUGCUUGGUGCCGAGCCCCUGGUGUCCAGCACCAGGAGUGAAUUUUGGAGUCUCUCUUAGCCGUGUGAGCAGAAACAAAGGCUCAGACCACGGCGAGGCAGAAUCACGCAACACCCCGAAAACACUGUUACACUAUCUGUCCACACCACAGGAGGGCACACAACACAGAUGGGUGGGCUGGGUCUCCUGUUACAGUCCACUGUGGGUACAGUGUUUGUGGAGGCUGAGGUACAGAAAGGCGUUCAAACAAGCCAGAGCUCAGCGGGGUGAUAAAACGAGCCAUAUUCGAGCUGGAGGUGGUGAUGGGUAGACAAAACAGUUGCCUCAGAAGUGGAGCUGUUAUUACAUAUACACUACAGUCACACUGACAACAACACAGAGAAGGGGAAGGCCUCGUACAUGCACAUCUGGUUAACAAGUGUGAGGCGUCUGAAGGCGUCAGAUUCCUCUGACGUCUGAAACAAACAAUCUGAAAAAACAGGUCAAACACAAUUCUGAGAAUUCCUCCAUAUAUUGCAGUCUGAAAAAACAGAAUCUGUCGUUUCAAGUGCAACUAGCAGGUUAGUUUUCUACAACAGUAACACAUAACUAUGCCUGGAAACAGCUGUUGAUAAGCAUUCCUGAAAGUACAAUUAAAUAUACUGUGUUUUUCAUGUUUAUGACAAGCUAAUGCAGAGCAGCCUUCAGUUUAUCCAUACUCCCCUGUUUUUGGCAAAGAGCCACAUGGUUUGUGGAAUCAGUCAGGUGAGAUGUGCUGCUCAUGGUUGACAGUCUCAUUUAUAGACAUACAGUUUGCGGUCUUGUUACAUCCUCUGCUUGUUUACUCAGAUCAACUACACUGACUGAGUCUGAAAGUGUUUUGUUGGAGCUGAUGAACGUUUAGUAGCAACAUUAACUAAAAAUCUGCAGAUAUUGAAAAUGCAAGAAAGAUGAUGCUACCCAGCAGACCAACCACAGGGCUUGAAGUCGACAUUUAGAUGCAUGGUUAAAUUUUUGAGGAGGUGCGUGUCGCAGGCCUCUGCACAGGUACCGGGUUACAGCAUAGAUUUAAUUCAGGAGUAUAAACCAGACCUGAAAGACUGCACGACUUAUUACUGAAGACACUGAAUUUCCGGAUAGUUCAACUUCCUUUUUUCACUUGAAACCUGAGGAGGGAGCUCUUUUCACUUUGUGCCAGUUUCAACUCUUCGAAACAUGACAACAAAGCUGAACUUAAUUGUAUUUUUCAGGCUUGCUGACAAUGUUAACUCUGACAAAUCUACACUUAAAGAUCUGCUUCCCUCUUUCUGAUCUGAGAGCAGCUUUGUGUAACCAGAGAACAAAUCGUGCCCUCUUUCAGGCCAUUAGACAGACAGGAGCACCGCUGCUUGAACUCCACUAAAUGACUCUCGCAAGCUAUGUGAUUACAAAACAGUUGUCACGCCUCUGUUAUUCCACAUAAUCUGAUUGAAAGGUAAUCCUGGGACAAAGUGGAGAGUGGAUACAGCAUUCUGAAUGAAAAGAAACCAGCAGACAUGUGGAGUAUCUUUUGUUUGUGUGACCUGGGUACGAUUUCCUGGCACAGAGCUUUAUUUGACUUUCGCCCGCUGGUGGGAAGGUGGGAGAGGUGGAGGUUGGCUUUGUUUUUUCAAAUUCAAUUGUCCACGCUACACUCAGAGAGCAUGAGCUUCCUGUGGUUUGCAGUAAUAAACCCAAACUCCGAUUACUUUCAAGGCUCAAAGGGCUGCAAACGGUCAGGAGGUAAAACAGGGAUGUGGACCUGUAAUGAGGUUAAGGUUGGAGCUACUUGACCCUGUGAGCCCCAGAGAAAGUGCCAACAAGUUUAACCUCCAAACCCGGUUCCUAGACUCUGCAGGGUGGAGGUCUUUCCUUGUGGAAAACAUCUUCCAGAGACUUCCAGACCUCCUAGUCUCUUCAAAGUCAGUGAAAUUGGGGUCUUUAGUCUUGGUGGUUUACAACAAGUUCUCUGCUCCAACCCCAAAAUCGAGAUCAGCCUGUCAAAG